This 481-nucleotide long non-coding RNA is filed under the name Cricetulus griseus (Chinese hamster). RNAcentral describes it as "lncRNA (ENSCGRG00015030434.1)". Lineage: Eukaryota; Metazoa; Chordata; Mammalia; Rodentia; Cricetidae. The record is from RNAcentral.
GGCAAGGCCAGUGCAAUUCCAAUUCUAAUCUUGAAAGCUCAUCAUAGGCCAGGCCUGAGUGGAAGGAACUUUCCAUACAUGUCUUGACUUUAGCAUCUGGCUUCCUCUAACGUCUGUUAACACCGAUUUAAAGAUAGACUAGUAGAUUCCAGAACAUUUCUUGUUAACUAUUUUAAGUACCUCAAUCUCUUUUUCAAGGUUAUAGCUUUGAGCUUCAAGCUAUUUGAAAUAAACCUGGAAGGGACCAGAACUGAAUCGGAAAUCCAAGUCUUUGUGUGGGGAUUGAUUGACGCACUCAGGACCAGAAUGCUGACAGGCUGAUUCCCAUUUUCCAGAACCUUGGACCAGUACACACCAGGAAAGGAAGAGACACCACCUGCACCCACUGGAAGAAGAGAUGGGAAGACGACAAUAUAAGAACAUAUCCAACAACAGAAAAACCAAUAUGAUGCCACCAGAUUCUAGGGACUUUUUCUUUUUG